AUGGCCUGGACUGUGCUCCUCCUCACCCUCCUCACUCAGGCCGUAGGUUCCUGGGCCCAGUCUGCUCUGACUCAGCCUUCCUCAGUGUCUGGGGCUCUGGGACAGUCAGUCACCAUCUCCUGUGCUGGGACCAGCAAUGACAUUGGGCGUUAUAAUGCUGUCUCUUGGCUCCAGCAGCUCCCUGGCAAGACACCCACACUCCUGAUUUAUGGUGUCAGUUCCCGGCCCUCAGGGAUCCCUGAUCGCUUCUCUGGCUCCAAGUCAGGCAACACGGCCACCUUGACCAUCUCUGGUCUCAAGCCUGAGGAUGAGGCUGAGUAUUACUGUGGCUCAAUCAGGACUGGUUAUACUUACCACAGUGGUGGACGCUGGAUCAUGUCCCUUGUCCAGCCACGUGUCAGUGUGGUGCUGCUGCCGGUCACUUCUGCCAACAGGAUUUUUCCAGGUCCAGACUCUCAUUUUGGAGCCUCCCGCAAUGUCCAGACUCUGGGACACUCAGUGACCAUCUCCCUUGUUGGAAGUGACAUCGGGUAUCACACCUGUGGUCCCAGCCUGGACUCAGUUGUCCAGCACGACAUCUCCUUCUUCACUCGGGUCUGCGUUGCUGUCAGUGUGGCCUUUUUGGUGCUUACUCUUCUGCACAUUGCUGCUGAGAGAAGAGAUGCUGAGGAAGGGGAAAAUGUUGCUGAGACCUGA
This is a non-coding RNA of Talpa occidentalis (Iberian mole), 696 nucleotides long. The record is from the annotation of a RefSeq genome assembly. NCBI's taxonomy places the organism in Eukaryota, Metazoa, Chordata, Mammalia, Eulipotyphla, Talpidae.